UUACCCGCUGAGUUUAAG
This 18-nucleotide small nuclear RNA is filed under the name Arabidopsis thaliana (thale cress). RNAcentral describes it as "snRNA_17118". Lineage: Eukaryota; Viridiplantae; Streptophyta; Magnoliopsida; Brassicales; Brassicaceae. The record is from RNAcentral.